CAUUUGAACGCUAUUUUCGUUUUGUUCAACUUCAUGGACGUCGCAAUGGCAACGGCAGAAUGUCAGACCCACUCUGCUGGUGGGAGGCGGUAGCGAAGGCGGAAGGCCGCGAAGACUGCAAAGCAAUAAGAGGCUUGUCAGAAGGGCUGCUUACGUGCAGUUCCUCGUUAGUAUAGUGGACUUCUGAACUUCAAUGAGCAAACAUCAUGAGGUGUUCGGAGCGGUGCUGGGUACACAGAACACAACACCUGCGGGCCGGCCGCCCUCCAGUCAGCGCCGUGUGCAAACACGCCAUCAAGGCAGGUUUGGAGCCCUGACAUCUUGCUGUUGCCCCUGGGCUUUGGAAGCUUCUGUGGAGCAACCCCAGGCCCAGCAGUGAGGAGCCAAGCUUAGGGGAACCCGUAGUGUGAGGCAAAGCUGCCCAGCUGAGCCUGACCUCAAUUAGCCAGUCCUCAACUGACCCACAGUUUUGUUGAGAAGUAGUUGAUGUACACCACUGUAUACAUUUGAAGUGUACAGCAUGCUGGCUUGAUUUAUGGAUAUUGCGAAAUGAGUACUGCAGAUUUGGUUACCAUUCAUCAUCUCAUGGAGAUACAACAAAAAGAGAAGGAAGAAAAAUGUCCCCUUGUGAUGAAAAAUGGUAGAAUCUGGGACACCUGGGUGGCUCAGUUGUUGAGCGUCUGCCUUCGGUCCAGGGCGUGAUCCCGGGGUCCUGGGAUCAAGUCUCACAUCCGGCUCCCCAC
This is a long non-coding RNA of Nyctereutes procyonoides (raccoon dog), 743 nucleotides long. RefSeq lists it as uncharacterized. Lineage: Eukaryota; Metazoa; Chordata; Mammalia; Carnivora; Canidae. The record is from RefSeq and is a predicted model, not a curated record. The transcript has 4 exons.